GUCCCGGCCGGUGGCCGGCGGCGGUGCACGCUUCGCGGCAGGGCAGCGGCAGCGGUUCCGCUGGUUUCUCCCGGGGAAGAAACCCCCCCAGCCCCGCGACAGGUUUCUCCGCGCCGGCCGCGGCUGUGCGUCUCUGCGGCCACAGGAGGAUAGAGACUGGGAAAAUAGCUGAUUGUGAGUUUAUCUAAAAUGAACAGAAUUGUCUCUUCAGACAGAGGGCCCAGAACGUGUAUGGAAAAGAGAGAAAGAAAGACCUAAAAUCUGAGAACGUGUGGAUACAUUUGGCUAGAAAGAUGAAUAUGAGAAGAGUCUCUGAGAAACAGACGUGGCAGUAUAUCAGGGAAAAAGAAAAGGCAACUUAACAACUGCUAUGAUAGGCUAAAGAAGAGCAUUCUGUAUUAACUAUUUACAGAAUACUAAUUUGGAAGAGAAGAAUCAGCCCCUUGGGUCUUCCAACAAAUGAGAGCUUGAUGCAAGAAGAACUUGGAAACAUUUGGUAGAGCCACAUGCGACUGAUGAAAAUAUUCACCCUAAGCACACAAAACAGGAAUGUUAAGAUUUGCUGGAGAUGGGACUGAGUUGCAGCAGAACAUGGUUUUAUCAGAACUCCAGAGACCCUUCCAAUGGAAGUUGUUCUACCAGCACAAUCACUCUGAAGACCUUAAUCCAAAUUUCUGCAAUAAAUGAAAAGAGUCAAGACUCAGGGUUUUAUAACCAGUUCCUCAGCACGAACCUCCUGCCUGACUUCAAGCAGAGCACCAGUUACUGCACCUGCUAAACUGUUAAGAAUGGGAUCACCCUUGUUCCUGUUGAUGCCUGCUCGUGAUCUAGACGCCAGGACUCAAGCAGGACUGAGGGACAUGUCAGGCAACACAAGUGGUAAGAGGCUGGAUCGUCUUUCUUCAUCUCCUCGCUGCCUUCACAGGAUUUGAAAGUGUGACAAAGUAUUUCAUCCCUUUACAGAAUUAGAGAUUUCUAACCACCUACAUGUGGAGAAGAAUUUUUUGAAGUGUCUGUCUCUUGCUGAUUUAAAUGUAACUAGGUACCAGGGAGCUUUGUGGAUUCAAGCCAUUCUCAAAGGGUGCAUGGCAACGUCCAGCGUGCUGUCUGGUGAGGAACAGCAGAGUGAAGCACUCUGGGUGUAGGAUGCGGAUUGCCUCUCACUGAGGUGCUGCUGGCUGGUUCACUGCCUGGUAAAAGGUGUCUAAGACCUGAUUUAACCUGAAGCAUACACUUUCUCAGGAGGUCUGCAACAGGGCUGAAGAAUUGCAAAUGUUGCAUCCUUUCCCUCCUGUCAUCUGCUUCCACGUGAGUGCAGUAUCUGUGCUGUGCUCUCAGCUCACUCACCCUGAAACGCUCCUUGUGAUGGAGGUUUGUACUGAGCUGGUACAGAGCGGACUUUGCUUUUGGUGGCAGUAUCCCUUGUUACCAUGUCAUUCAUGGAGAAGAUGGGUUUAUCCUUGCUUUUAUUCUGGGACCAACUGCUCUACACACAGGAAUCAAAAGUGGCAAAUCUUCUAUACCCUUUUUUGUUUUUCAGUUGAAGGUCUACAUCACAUGAACGUCUUUGGGUUUUUUGGAGAGGUAAAGCUUUUUUUAAAAAAAACCAAACCAGGUUGAACCCAAGUUGGAUAAACAACUGCAUCGUGUGGCUGAUACACUGCAUUCCCAUUCCAUCUGGUCUUGUACAUCCACUCCCUGUACCUAUUAAAUGUGAUAGCUGUUAGGCGUGAGACCCGGAGAUGGGAAGGACUACUUUGCCAUGUAGACAUUCACCUGAUGGCCCCAUCCUAUUUUCUAGAACCAAAGAUUUCACUGUGAUAGUGCACAUCUUAAAGCAUUGCAGGAGAUAGGGGGAUGUAACUGCACUUGACCUGAGUUUGGAUUACUCAUAUCUCAUAUCUUCGAGUUUGUUAGUAAAUACCGAAGUAUACAAUCAAUGGAAAUACAACCUUCUUAAUCUGUAACUACAAAAACAAGAAAAGGACAGUCUUGAAAAUCCAGCAGUCUUUCAAAUCAUCUUAAGGCAUAUUGACCCUGAAUCAUCACAGUGAAAUUCAGCAGGUGUGUUCCUAUUAGUGAUCUAAGAAUGUAGAUGGGGUUGAAUACACGGAAAACUGUAUCUUGUUCCAGUUAUCUCUAUUACUGCAAUAAAUGAUACUAACUCUCUCUC
This is a long non-coding RNA of Chroicocephalus ridibundus (black-headed gull), 2173 nucleotides long. RefSeq lists it as uncharacterized. The record is from RefSeq and is a predicted model, not a curated record. The transcript has 9 exons. Lineage: Eukaryota; Metazoa; Chordata; Aves; Charadriiformes; Laridae.